UUGCUGGGCAGUGGUGUGGGAACAGUGCGUCUCUAUGACACGGAAGCCAAGAAGAAUCUCUGUGAAAUCAAUAUCAACGACGACAUGCCCAGAAUCCUGUCUCUUGCGUGCAGCCCCAACGGGGCCUCUUUCGUCUGUUCGGCAGCAGCUCCGAGCCUCACUUCCCAGGUGGACUUCUCAGCACCAGACAUCGGCAGCAAGGGCAUGAACCAGGUUCCUGGCAGGCUGCUGCUGUGGGACACGAAAACCAUGAAGCAGCAGCUCCAGUUCUCCCUGGAUCCAGAACCCAUUGCUAUCAACUGUACAGCCUUCAAUCACAACGGGAACCUGCUGGUCACAGGGGCAGCUGAUGGCGUCAUCCGGCUGUUUGACAUGCAGCAGCAUGAGUGCGCGAUGAGCUGGAGGGCCCACUACGGGGAGGUCUACUCUGUGGAGUUCAGCUAUGAUGAGAACACCGUGUACAGCAUCGGCGAGGACGGGAAGGUAGGCGGCUGCAGGAUUCA
This 503-nucleotide small RNA is filed under the name Pan troglodytes (chimpanzee). RNAcentral's name for it is "retained intron". The record is from RNAcentral. Lineage: Eukaryota; Metazoa; Chordata; Mammalia; Primates; Hominidae.